AUGGGAGGGAGGACUUACACGCAGGCCCAGUGCUGGGCGCUGUGCUUGCCUUAUUCCCGCAAAACCUCCCGGAAACCUUGUUCUCCAGGUUUGGAAGUGAGGCUCAGAGACAUACAGCGCCUGGCCCGGGGGUCCAACAGCAAGCAAGCAAAGGGAUGCCAAAGCAAGCUCUGUCCGUUCCACUGCUCUGGGACCCUGCCCCUAACGGGCGCCCCGUUUUUCACAAGGUACAGCAUGAUCCCCUGAAGUCACCCUCUUUCUCCCUGCUGUUCUUUUCAGAUCCCUGGUGAGGAAUCCUGAAAUUCAGCCCGAAACCCCUUUGGGAUUUCAGCUCCCAUCUGGCCCAAGAUUCAUGCAGAGAUUUGCAGAUCCCCCAGAGGGGCCCGACUGCCGUGAUUCCCAGGAGUGCCCUCAAGGACCUCGGCUGCCCUUGGGGACAGAGCCUCGGGCCCAGGGAGCUCAAAGUCUACACACACAGUGGUGAUCGGGCACAGAGGGAGGGGGCUCGGCACUUCGGUUCUGAACUGGAGUUCCUGGGUUUGGACAUGGCCUCCCUCCUUCCAGUCCCGCAGCCUUGGCCACCCAUUCUGUAAAAUGAGGACAAGGAGGAUGAUCCGCCCAGAACUGUUGGAGCCUUAAAUAUAAGAAUCCCUGUGGUGGCCAGCCAGUAAACUGCUUAUGGCCGCUGCUAUUAUUAUCAAAGAGAUGCAAACUAAAAGUUAAGGGAGAUAGGUAGUAAAAGUUAAGUGUAGGGGCCAGCUCUGUGGCAUAGCGGGCUAAAGCCCUGGCCUGCACUGCCGGCACCCCAUAGGGGCGCUUGUUCCAGCCCCGGCUGCUCCACUUCUGAUCCAGCUCUCUGUUAUGGCCUAGGAAAGCAGUAGAAGAUGGCCCAAGUCCUUGAGCCACUGCACCCACGUGGGAGACCCAGAAGAAGCUCCUGGCUUCAGAUGGGCUCAGCUCCAGCUGUUGCAGCCAUUUGGGGAGUGAACCAGUAGAUGGAAGACCCCUCUCUCUCUCUCUCUCUCUCUCUCUCUUUCCCUCUCCCUCUUCCUCUCUGUACCUCUGCCUUUCAAAUAAAUAAAUAAAUCUUAAAAAAAAGCUAUGUGUG
This 1108-nucleotide long non-coding RNA is filed under the name Oryctolagus cuniculus (rabbit). RNAcentral's name for it is "lncRNA (ENSOCUG00000035547.1)". Lineage: Eukaryota; Metazoa; Chordata; Mammalia; Lagomorpha; Leporidae. The record is from RNAcentral.